UGUGACCAUCUACUGGAUGCGUCAAUUAAUACCAUAAAAUAGUGGAAUGGUCCACAUGGUGGAUGUAUCGGUCCACAUAUAUCACCUUGAAUUCUUUCAAGGAACUUUGGUGAUUCUUUAUCGAUUUUGGUUGGCGAUGGCCUUACGAUCAAUUUUCCUAGAGAACAUGCAACACAUGUCAUUUUAUUCCCUUGAGAAAUCUCCUGGAUUUUCAGUGGAUGACCAUGUGAACUCUCUAUGAUUUUACGCAUCAUUGUAGUGCCUGGGUGGCCAAGGCGAUCAUGCCAUAACGUGAACUCUUCUGGGUUCCGUUU
Molecule: long non-coding RNA, 314 nt
Filed under: Brassica napus (rape)
Lineage: Eukaryota; Viridiplantae; Streptophyta; Magnoliopsida; Brassicales; Brassicaceae
Description: long non-coding RNA (BNAP_LNC021587)
Source: RNAcentral